This 492-nucleotide ribosomal RNA is filed under the name uncultured bacterium. RNAcentral describes it as "partial 16S ribosomal RNA". It matches the Rfam family "Bacterial small subunit ribosomal RNA", at positions 29 to 507 of the family's 1533-position model. The record is from RNAcentral.
AGUGAACGCUGGCGGUAGGCCUAACACAUGCAAGUCGAACGGCAGCACAGUAAGAGCUUGCUCUUACGGGUGGCGAGUGGCGGACGGGUGAGGAAUACAUCGGAAUCUACUUUUUCGUGGGGGAUAACGUAGGGAAACUUACGCUAAUACCGCAUACGACCUACGGGUGAAAGCAGUGGAUCUUCUGACCUUGCGCGAUUGAAUGAGCCGAUGUCGGAUUAGCUAGUUGGCGGGGUAAAGGCCCACCAAGGCGACGAUCCGUAGCUGGUCUGAGAGGAUGAUCAGCCACACUGGAACUGGGACACGGUCCAGACUCCUACGGGAGGCAGCAGUGGGGAAUAUUGGACAAUGGGCGCAAGCCUGAUCCAGCCAUACCGCGUGGGUGAAGAAGGCCUUCGGGUUGUAAAGCCCUUUUGUUGGGAAAGAAAAGCAGCAGGUUAAUACCCCGCUGUUCUGACGGUACCCAAAGAAUAAGCACCGGCUAACUUCGUG